UGCUGUUAACUUUCUUUCUCUAUUCCGUUCAUCAUCAAUUCUUCACCAUCAUCAUCAAUCGCCCAAUUCAACACUUAUUCUCAGAAUCUUCAUCUUAGGCUGGCUUCCAAAUAUGAAUGAUAUUUUCUACAUUCAUGGUAGUUUGCUGAGAAGAUUUCAUCUAUUUAUCUAAUCUUCAUCGAAUUCGGCAACACCUUGAAUGUGGCAGCAUUGAUGUUCCAAUCGCAGCUUUAUGUGAGUCUCUCUUACUCUUCUUCCUUUUUUCCUCUGGCAACUUAUUAUUGUGUUGCGUGUGAGGUGUUUGAUAAUUUGACUCAAUGAAAUUUUACUCUAUUAUUUUGCAAUUGUGUGCUUAUCCAGGAAUUAGGUGGAUGAACUGUUAUUUCCGUAUUAGACGAUGCCACUGCCGUGUGAGUAUCUCCCAACAAAUUUGUUUAAAUUUCAAAAUGAUCCUUUAAAUUGAAAAUCUUCGUUCACGUAUGUGAUAUUUUGAACUCUCCACCGAUGCAAAGUGAGUCUGAAGGUAAAUAUUAUUGUCCCCCUUGUUUCCAUUAUGUCUGUAUGUUAUCUACAUCAAUAGGUAUGUACACACUGAAUAUAUAUAUACAGAAAAAUAAUUUUUGCUGCACCAACGGUAGAUAAAAGUGAAAUACUGGCUCUUGUAGGCGAUAAGAUGGAUUCUUUGAUCCUUUAUAAUCUAUGAUUAAAUGGUUGCGUUAUUGAUGAGUCAUAAUUAUGCAUUUCGCAUUGAACUUAGGAAUAAAACGAUUAAUUCUUAAAUCAAGUAGAACUUCUCUUUCAUGAAUGUUGUGUUCAAUAAUCGGUGAUUAGCUAUUUGAAAGUCAUCACUGCAUUUGUUGGUAUCAUAUGAAGUUGUCCAUGAUGGUGAUUAUGAUCUGUUCAAUUUUAGGGCUCAUUCUAUUUCUAUGCAUCCUGAUAACUUAUAUGGGCAUAUGCAGAAUUACUGAAGUGUCCACGAAAAUAGAACCAGUGCAGGAGAAAAAAUAAAGAGCUUAGCACAAAUAGGAUUUUUGAAGUUAUUUAGUGGUUGCCUUAUCGCAUUUGAAGGUUUGCAGGUUAUUUCUUUGUUUACCCUUUGAAUCUCUUUGAUAUUGCUGAAUAAUAACUGUAGUCUCUUAGAUAGAUCUACUCAAUAGAUAAAACUUGGACAAAGUAAAGUAUAUGCAAAAUCAGAACUCUACCAAAUCCACCAACUUCCAAUAGCCCCUUUUCCAUGAAACCCUUUGUAGCAAAGUAUAGAUCUUUGAACUUAAAUCUAUGAGGGCCAUAUUCAUGUUCCCAAUCUUCAAGAAUCUCAGCAAACAUCUUCCGUUUGAUAUAAUAUAUAACCCUAAAGUUAUCAUGAAUAGCGAACUAAGCAAAAUCAAAGGCAACCCAACAGUUAAAAAUUUAGACUUUUUUUUUUCUCAUCAAAUAUACUUAGCUCAGGAGCAAAUAUUCUUGGCUCAGGAAGUUCAGAGAUUUCAAGGUUUUGAGCUUGGCUAUUAACCUUAAAACUCCAACCAAGAAUAUAAUGAGAAGCUACAAUUAACCCUGUUGAAGAUGAGAAUCCAACAUACAUUCUAUUGUUGAGUAUUGGAGAAAGAUCUUUGGUCAAUGAUAACAAAGGUUGUGUUGGUUUAUCACUAAAACCAACACUAAUUGGAGCUAAAGUAACAUCAUAAUAUCCAUACCUGCAUAUCCACUGGAAAGGGAUAAAUUCCUGAAUCCAUAAUCAUCAUAAUAUCCUGCAGGAGUUGAAUUAGCUGAUUUCAAAUCAUUGAUAUCAAUACCAAUAUGGUUAUCAUUGAUUUCAUCAAACUCAAAAUUUUGAUCAGUGUCAAGCUCAAUACCAAAAACAUGGCUGCUACUGUUUCCAUUGUUGGAAUUGUUAGAGACCAAGGUAUUAAUAUUGUAGUGAAUUUGGUAGCCCUUUUGUAGGUGAAAUAACAAAAACAAUUCCAUGGCCACUAUGAGUUGGAUAUUAAGAUUUUAUAGCAAAUAAAGAAUUAGUUGAGAAAGAAGACACACUUUCACUGAGUGUUUUUGAAAACUAUAGGAUUUGGAUAGAAAGCAUUGCCAUCAAGAUAUAAAUGUGAUGAUUGGAAUCCACUUUAUUUAUAGAUAAAGCAACAUGAACACAAGUCUGAGGAACAUGAUUAUAGUUUGAGAAUGAAUCAUGCUUCUGUAGUUCUGUUCGAGUGUUCGGUGUUUAUUAUUUAUAAGAUUUUGUGCUAAGUGAAGGAAAAAUUGCAUGUCUAAUUCGGGUCCUACUAAGAAAUUUCCUAGAACCUAGCUACGAAUUAUUACUAAAAGAAACAUCACAUGGUUACUAAAAUUGCCUUAUCAUCUGGGUCCUACUAAGAAAUGUCUCAUUUAGUUUAGUGAAGAGAAUGUGUUAUACAUUUGAAUCACAAUUUUUUUUUAUUUUUUUUCCAACAGUAGUAGUGGGUGAAUGUUUUUUUAACAUUUACAUAUUAAGUGUUUGAUGCUAAAUUGAAUAUGUGAAAUUUAAUUAUCAAUGUGUUCUAAUUUCUUAGAAUAAGUAGUGUUUUUUUUUAAUCCUGAAUGUGUGGACUUGACCAGUUACUAUUGAUUAUUGAUUAUGCUUCAAAUCAAAUGAUGAAUGAAUAUGUGGUGGAAAGAUAAAAAGAUAUAUGUUGGUUUGACUCAAUUUCAUACUCACUCCGUCUCUAAAUAUAAGACUCCUCUACAAAUUACUAAAUACAUUUAUUGCUCUUUUUUUUCCAAUAUACUAUCAAUUUAUCUAAGAAUAUGAAAAUUAACUUUGAAUGCACUUUUAUAAAAAGGGUAAUUUAGAAAUAGUAACACACAUUUCAGACAAAUUUAUUACUCGAAAGACUUUUUUUAGUACCCGUGAUUUUUGUAAAGUGUUCUUCUAAAAAAGGAUGGAGGGAAAAUUUUUCUUCAUGCAAAAAUCAUGGUGAAAUUUCGAGCCACAUGUUCCAUCGGUCACAUGUGUUGGCAAAUUGCAGGGAGAUGGAGGCAAAUCACCGGGUAAUUUACUCGUGAUUGACAGCUAUAAAAUACAAUUUUAGACCUGGUUGUUUUGCAAUCUUUCUACUCUAAAGGAGUUAAGGAACUAAUAGGGUGAGGGUUGAGUGUUUUGCAUGAUAUUCUUAUGUUGGAAAACAUCAUGAGAUCUCAUUAGAGUAAAUAUCAAACUCUUUUUCUAGUUUUCUCCUUAGAUCUCAAUUUAGGUUUUAGUGACUUGAAAAAUGGAUAGAAAUUAGAGAUUGUUCUUAUUGUCUACAAGAAUGGUAAAGGUAUUCUUUACCUAGGGCUUUGGUCAAUUUACUCUCAAAUUGUUUCAAACAAACUAAUUUGGCUGAAAUUUUUUUAAUUUCAGGGAUCAUUUUAGAAGUAUGAGUAAUUUGGUUGAAAUUCUUUUAAUUUCAGGGAGAUGAAUGGAAAAUUGAAAUUUAUCACAGCAUUCGUUGGUAAAGUAUGAAGUCGUCCAUGAUAGUGAUUAUGAUGUGUUCAAUUUUAGGGCUCAUUCUAUACAUCCCGUUAACUUAAUCUUAUAUGUGCAUAUGCAGAACUACUGAAGUGUUGAAGAAAAUCGAACGAGUAAAGGAGAAAAGAUGAAGAGCUUGUUUGAGUCUUUAGAACAAAUAUAAUUUCUGAAGUUAUUUAGUGGUUGCCUUAUUGCAUUUGAGGUUUUGCAGGUUAUUUCUUAGUUUACCCUUUGAAUCUCUGUGAUAUUACUGAACAAUAAUUGUAGUCUCUCGUUUACUCAAAAUAGAUACAAACUUGGACGCAAUGAAGUAUAUACAAAAUCAAAACAAAAAAAGUUUAAUGAGAAAAUGAUUUUAUGUAACUAUUAAACCAUUUACUCAAACAUGAUUUCACUUUUUAGAUAACAAACUCUCUUUAAUCCUUUUUACCAAAAUUUAAUACAUUACAAAAUCAAAAUGCACCAAUUAAGCAUCAAUUAGACGUGUCUUUUGAAAUCAACGACCACCCGAGAGAACAGAUUCAGCAAUUAACGCUGAAGUAUAUGGCAUUCUCCUGUCCUCAACAAAUAAUUGGUACCCAAAAGUUAAACCAGAAGAAGAUAAACUAAGCGAAGAAAAAUCUGGCAAAGGUGUAUCCCUCUCCAAAUACUGUACAACUUGUCUCAUACUUGGUCUAGCCAAAGGCUCUGAAUGUGAACACAACAAGCCAAGUUUCAACACCAAUUCCACCUCUUCAGACACAUAAUUUGUUCCUAAAUGAACAUCUUUUGCCUCAAGAAUCUCACCUCUUUGCCAACAUUCAAACACAGAAUCAACUAGAAUUAGACUCUCAUUGUCUCCUACACGACCUAUAGGCCUCCUACCACAAACAACCUCAAGAAGAAAUGCACCAAAAGAAAACACAUCAGAAAAUUUAGUAGCCUUACCUCUUCUAAUAUGUUCAGGAGCAAGAUAACCAAUAGUUCCAGCCAAAUGAGUUGUGUGAGGAUCAGCACCAUGAUCAUGCAACCUUGAAAGACCAAAAUCUCCCAAUCUAGCAUUAAAUCCAGAAUCUAACAACACAUUACUAGCCUUUAUGUCUCUAUGAAUAACAACUUUCUCCCAUUCUUCAUGAAGAUAAACCACACCUGAAGCAACACCUUUGAUGAUUCUAAAUCUUUGACUCCAAUUCAACCUCACUUUUGGUUGGUUAUAUAGAUAGUUGUCUAAACUUCCAUUCGGCAUGUAAUCAUAAACCAAAAGUAACUCGCUUUUUCGCCUGCAAUAGCCAUGAAGUUGAACAAGAUUCCUGUGCCGAAGACGACCGAUACUAACAAUUUCCGACACAAAUUCCCUCAUCCCUUGUCUUGAUUCAUGAGACACCCUUUUCACAGCAACCUCAAGUUUGGAACUUUGUAUCACACCUUUGUAGACUCUACCAAAUCCACCAACUCCCAAUAGCCCCUUUUCCCUGAAACCCUUUGUGGCUGAGUAUAGAUCUUUGAACUUAAAUCUACGUGGGCCAUAUUCAUGUUCCCAAUCUUCAAGAACCUCAUCAAACUUCUUCAAUUUGACAUAAUACAUAACCCCUAAAGUUAUCAUGAAUACCAAACUUAGGAAAAUCAAUGGCAAUCCAACAGUUAAAAAUUUCGACUUUUUUUUCUCUGCAGGUAGUUUAGGAAGUUCAGAGAUUUCAAGGUUUUGAGCUUGACCAUUAACCUUAAAACUCCAACCAAGAAUAUACUGAGAAGCUACCAUUAACCCUGUUGAAGAUGAGAAUCCAACAUACAUUCUAUUGUUGAGAAUUGAAGAAAGAUCUUUGGUCAAUGAUAACAAAGGUUGUGUUGGUUUAUUACUAGCACCAACACUCAUUGGUGCUAAAGUAACAUCAAUCUUUUUCUUCACUCCAUCAUAUUCAAUCCAUACCUGCAUAGGGUAUCCACUGGAAAGGGAUAAAUCCUUGAAUUGACCAUAACCAUCAUAAUAUCCUGCAGGAGUUGAAUCAGCUGAUUUCAAAUCAUUGAUAUCAAUUCCAACAUGGUUAUCGUUGAUAUCAUCAAACUCAAAAUUUUGACGAGUGUCAAGCUCAACACCAAAAACAUGGUUGCUACUGUUUCCACUGUUGGAAUCGUUAAAGAGACCAAGGUAUUGACUUGGUAGUGAAUCUGGUAGCCCUUUUGUUGGAGAAAUAACAAAAACAAUUCCAUGGCCACCAAUAUUUGCAUAUUGAGGUAUUAUGGCAAAUAAAAAAGUAGUUGAGAAAGAAGACACGCUUUCACUGGAAGUGUUUUUGAAAACUAUUGGAUUUGGAUAGAAACCAUGUCCUUUGUCUCUUUCUGUAUCAUUGGUGAGUUUUAGUAAGCCAUUUGUAGUUAACUCAGCAAUACCAUCAAGAUAUAAAUGUGAUGAUUGGAAUCCAUUAUAUAUGAAACUGUUGUCUUCACUUGCAACCAAUGUAACAUGAAAAAACAACAUGAACACAUGUCUGAGGAACAUGAUUAUAGGUUGUGAAUAAUAAUGCUUAUACAGUUCGGUUCAUUGUUUCUUAUUUAUUAUUUUUUAUUUAUAAUAUUUUGUCCUAUUGCUAGUCUCAUUUGGGACCUACUAAUAAGUGUCCCUUUACCUAACUUAGCUACGUAUUAUCACCAAAAGAAACAUCAAAUCAAAUGGUUACUAAAAUUGCGUAUCUCAUUUGAGUCAAUUUAAGUGGUGGAAGGAUGGAUAAAGAUAAUGUUGGUUUUGACUAAAAUGACUGGGGCAGUUUUUAAAGGAGAUAAUUUUUAGGAAACUUGGAAGUUAAGAGUUGAGUUGGAAAGAUUCUUUCUUCCUCUAACAUAGGUCAUUUUGGGCCGAAUUAGGUAAACAAUUUGAAAAUCGCUCUUUAAGCUUGAAAAAUUGUUCUCUUGCACCUUAAAAUUUCAUUAAUACCCCCAACAGCAAUGAAUUAUCGUCGCUACCCAGCAGCAGUUAAUUGUCGUUCGGUCUUUUUGCAACCACAAUUGUGUUCAACUGCAGUUGCGUUCGAGACUUAUUCUAGAACAGUAACAACACGUGUUCUGGAUUUAUUUUAUAAAAGCAAAAAUAGUUAUCACUUUUGUUUGAAACACAAAACUCCAAUCUCACUCAAAUGAAUCUCAUCCAAUUUCUUUCAUCAAAAUCAAAAGUUAUCAACUAUUCUACAAGUAAGUGUUAAUAAUCUCUUCUAUUCACAUUGUUAGUUUUAUAUAAUUUUUUUUCCUUCAAAAUUUGGUGGAAAUGUUAGUGUUUAUGAUUGGAUAAAUUAUUGAUAUUUUGGGUAGUCUGUGAUCCUAUAUAUGCAUGUUUUGACUAUAAAUGUUGUUUAAACUAAAUUUAAGUUCAAUGUUGUAGUUUAAAAGUUGAAAUAACACAAUGAAUAAAUGUUGUAUAUUUUGUACUACAAGCGUUUGAUGAAAUGCUUGAAUGAGUUUUUCAUUGAUAUUUUUAUUGUCUUUUGUUGUGUAGAUAUGACUGAGAACCUACAUAUGCGUAAAGAGACCAUGACAAGCAGUUCCCGCAAGGAGAGAGUGACAGUGAACCCUACUAAAAUCUGCAUUUCCAACGAUGUACGUCACAAACUGCCAAUGCAUUUAACCAAAUUUUUAGCAUUCUUUCUAUUUAAUUAGUUUUUCUUAUACUUUGUCUAUUUGAUCUUUUUAUCAAUUUUAAUUAUUCAGAUAUAGAUUGUUUCUUUCUACAUCUGCUGCACAAUUCACAAAUCAUGAUUUUGAUGAUGUGAUCAUCAAGGUUGGCUAGGAUAAGAAGAUUUUUGCAUCUAGUAUAUAUCUUUGAAAUGGAGAUAACUUGAUUUCCUUUCCUUACAGUAUUUUUUUAUUUUUUUAAAUCAAGGAGUAACCUUUGCGCAAAUCCUUGACGAAUCCCACGGGGUAACUGAGAUCCAAUAAUCAACGAAUGAGCUAUUUUUUAUACACAUAGUCCAGGUACCCUAAAACAAAUGUUUAAGAGACUCAAAUAUCUACCACAGUACCAGUUAUGCCACAUAUAUUGGAUGUUUCUUUAGAAUGGAUGAUUUGUAUAGAAAAGCCGACUGCAAAGGAAAAUUCAAAUAAAAACUCGUGAAUUAAUAUGUUGAAGUGUGAUUUAACAAUAAAAAAUUUAUAAGCAAAGUAAAUUAAAUAAAAUGCCUAAAAAUCCAUCUAUUCCAAUCAACUAAAUACCUUUCUGCAAAUGUAAAAAUAAUUCAAAGCAGCUACGCAACGCGCAGGUCAAAAUCUAGUUAAUCACAUAAUGUCCAUGUAUUAUGUAUAUGUACACAUAAAUCAGUGUUUUAUACCAGUGCAUUGUGGCCGGUUUACAGAUUUCAGUUUGCAGAGUGUUAUAUAGCCAGUGCUGUCAAAUUUAGAGGCGCUAUAGUGCUGCCGAAUAGAAGAAUUUGACCAAAUUGCUAUUGUUCCGUAAUAAAGCCCUUUUGUACAAAAUGUUGUCAUUAAUAAUGGCUAUAGAAGCACUAUAGUACCGUACCAUAGUAGAAUUUGAACAAACCGCUAUGCUGCAACAUUCAACACUGGUUAUAUAGUCACUGGUCAGUUAUGGUAUUUCCGGCUCGUAUUGACAUUUUUUGGCACCCCCACUGGUUGUUAGCAUUUUCGACUACUCAGCCUCAACCACACACAUUCUUCUUCUUCUUAAUCCUUUGUAUACUCAUUUGUUCAUACUUCUCUUUGCAACUUGUCUUUUUCUUUAACCCUACAUUCUUGCUCUGCAGCAACUCAAUCCCCCAUUGUUCUGUUUUUCUAUACUAGGUUGUUAAUUAUGAAUGUCUGUAAUUUUGUGUAACUUUUUUUUAUUUCUUUGAAAAUUUAUUUACAUAAAGCAUAAAAUAUUUAUGUUGGAUAUAUAAUCUUUGGUAUAGAGUUAUAUCAUCAUCUACUAUCUCUCAGUAGCGUUCGUGGGAUCUAUUACAUGUAUCAAAUGACUGCAUAAUAUUUACCAUGGGCUACAUCUAUGAAUAUAAAUUAAAACUCACGUACCUACCUAUUAGGAGAAAGAGACUACAUUAAAACAUAAACACUACAUAAAACUCGUGUAUCUAUUACACUAUUAACUCAAAUAUGAUUUUACAUUUGAUUUAACAAACUCUCCUUAAUCCAUUUUACCAAAAUCUAACGACAACCAGAGAGAAUUGAGUCGGCAAUAGACACAGAAGUCUGUGACAUUGUGUUGCCCAUAGAGGAAGGAUAAGACAAAGGAAAGUCCUCAAAAAAUUCUUGGUACCCAAAAGUUAAUCCAGAAGAAGAUAAACUAAGCAAAGACAAAUCUGGCAAAGGUAUAUCCCUCUCCAAAUACUGCACAACUUGUCUCAUACAUGGUCUAGCCAAAGGUUCUGAAUGUGAACACAACAAUCCAAGUUUCAACACCAACUCCACCUCUUCAGACACAAAGUUUGUCCCCAAAUUUACAUCUUUUGCCUCAAGAAUAUCACCUCUUUUCCAACACUCAAAUACACAAUCAACCAAAAUUACACUUUCAUUUUCCCCAACAUUAGAAAUAGGCCUUCUACCACAAGCAACCUCAAGAAGAAAUGCACCAAAAGAAAACACAUCAGAAAAUUUAGUAGCCUUACCUGUUCUAAUAUGUUCCGGAGCAAGAUAACCAAUAGUUCCAGCCAAAUGAGUCGUGUGAUGAUCUGCACCAUGGUCAUACAACCUUGAAAGACCAAAAUCUCCCAAUCUAGCAUUAAAUUCAGAAUCUAACAACACAUUACUAGCUUUUAUGUCUCUAUGAAUUACAACUUUCUCCCAUUCUUCAUGAAGAUAAACCACGCCUGAAGCAACACCUUUGAUGAUUCUAAAUCUUUGACUCCAAUUCAACCUCACUUUUGGUUGGUUGUAUAAAUAUUUGUCUAAACUUCCAUUCGGCAUGUAAUCAUAAACCAAAAGUAACUCGCUUUUUCGCCUGCAAUAGCCAUGAAGUUGAACAAGAUUCCUCUGCCGAAGACGACCGAUACUAACAAUUUCCGACACAAAUUCCCUCAUCCCUUGUCUUGAUUCAUGAGACACCCUUUUCACAGCAACCUCAAGUUUGGAACUUGGUAACACACCUUUGUAGACUCUACCAAAUCCACCAACUCCCAGUAGCCCCUUUUCCCUGAAACCCUUUGUGGCAAAGUACAAAUCUUUGAACUUAAAUCUAUGUGGGCCAUAUUCUUGUUCCCAAUCUUCAAGAAUCUCAGCAAACUUCUUCCGUCUGAUAUAAUACAUAACCCCUAAAGUUAUCAUGAAUAUCAAACUUAUCAAAAUUAAAGGCAACCCAACAGUUAAAAAAUUUGAUUUCGUUUUCUCAGCUAAUACUGGUAACUCAGGAAGUUCAGAGAUUACAAGGUUUUGAGCUUGACCAUUAAUCUUAAAACUCCAACCAAGAAUAUAAUGAGAAGUUAGAAAUGAACCAGUAGCUGAUGAAAAUCCAACAUACAUACUAUUGUUAAGAAUUGGAGAAAGAUCUUUGGUCAAUGAUAACAAAGGUUGUUUUGGUUUAACAACAUUAAUUGGAGCUAAAGUAACAUCAAUCUUUUUCUUUUCACCAUCAUAUUCAAUCCAUACCUGCAUAGGAUAGCCACUGAUAAGGCUUAUAUUCUUGAAUUGACCAUUACCAUCAUAAUAUCCUGCAGGAGUUGAAUUAGCUGAUUUCAAAUCAUUGAUAUCAAUACCAACAUGGUUAUCAUUGAUAUCAUCAAACUCACGAUUUUCAAUAGUAUCAAGUUCAACACCAAAAACGUGGUUGCUAGGAUUUCCAUUGUUGGAAUCGUCAAAGAGACCAAGGUAUGAACCUUGGAGUGAAUUUGGUAGCCCUUUUGUAGGAGAAAGAACAAAAACAAUUCCAUGGCCACUAUAAGUUGGACCUUGAUGUCUUAUGGCAAAUACAAAAGUAGUUGAGAAUGAAGAAACACUUCCAUUGGAAGUGUUCUUCAAAACUAUAGGGUUUGGAUAGAAAGCAUGUGCUUUUUCUUGUUUGGUGUCAUUGGUGAGUCUUAGUAAGCCAUUGGAGGUUAAAUUAGCAAUACCAUCAAGAUACAAAUGAGAUGAUUGGAAAUCAUUAUAGAUGAAACUUUUGUCUUCACUUGGUACCAAUGUAACAAGAAAAAACAACAUAAACACAAGCCUGAGGAACAUGAUUAUAGUUUGUGAAUAAUAAUGCUUAUACAGUUCUGUUCAGUGUUUAUUAUUUAUUAUUUAUUAUGUAUAAGAUUUUGUCCUAGGUGAAGAAAAAAUUGCAAGUCUAAUUUGGGUCCUACUAAGAAAUGUCUUGGAACCUAACUUAGCUAUGAAUUAUCACCAAAAGAAACAUCAAAUGGUUACUAAAAUCGCGUAUCUCAUUUGGGUCCUACUAAGAAAUGUCUCAUUUAGUUUAGUAAAAAUGAACUCAUUUGGGACCAUUUGAAUAGUUGUGCACAUUUGAACUACCAAUUUUUUUCCCAACUGCACAUUUUCAAUGUUUACGUAUUGAGUGUUUGAUGCUAAAUUGAAUAUGUGAAAUUAAAACAUCAAUGUCGUCUAAUUUCUUCAAAUAAGCAUAGUUUUUUUUUUUAAGUUCACACUUGAAUGUGUGGAUUUGACCGAUUACUAUUGAUUAUCUAUGAUUUGCUUGGCUGCUAAGAAAAUGAUGAAUGAAUAAGUGGUGGAGGAUGCAUAAAGAUACCGUUGGUUUUGAAUCAAAAUUUCAUAUUUUUCUUCAUGGAAAAAUCGUAGGCCAAUUAAAGUCAGCCUGUUUCAUUGGUCAUAUGUGCUGGCAAGUUGCAGGGAGAUGGAGGUAAAUCACGAGGCAAUUUACUCAGGAUUGACAACUAUAAAAUUCAGUUUUUGACAUAUUUGUCGAGCAAUCUUUCUACUCUAAAUCAGAGAAUUUUUAAGGAAUUUAGAGGUUCAGAGUAACCUUAAAAAGUAACUUAAUAACAUAACUUUGUUCUCCAAAAACUUUACUGUCUUUUCAAUUUUCUGGUUCUUCUUCAUUUCUUGUCCACCACUUUAUCAUAGCUUCUGUUUUUCACAUAUGCCCACACGACCUAAAAUGAGCUUACCAUUUUUUCUACAAUGGAGCCAUCUCAACUUUUUCUCUGCUGUUUAUUUAAUUUAUUUAAUUCAGGGUUAAAAACCAUGUAAUGGACUAAUUUUAAAACCUAACUUUCUUUUUUAGGUGCUGCACUGUCUGUAAAGAGAAGUGACAUAUUGGCUCUUGCUAUAGGUAUGAUGGACUCUUUGAUCCUCUACAAUCAAUGAUUGGUUUAUUGUGUCAUUCACGGGUGAUAAUUCUGGAUGUCACAAUGAAUGUUGGGAUAAAAUGGUUUGUUUAAAUCGAGUAAAACUUCUGUUUCAUGAAUGGUGUGUUCAUCAACUGGUAACAAUUAUAGCAACUAUAGAAGAAAGGCUUAAGUGGGGUGUGGGUUUUCCUACUAUAGGUGUUUCAAUUGUUUUACAUGCACUGAGGCAUUCUUUAGAAUCAAGUGCAUUUCAGAUAUGGCUCAAUAAAUGUUAUAUUUGAUUUAGACUGAAUCACCAUUUAAGUCUAUAAAUUACAGGGGUUGAAAUUUUUAAUGUUAGUCCUUUUGGGUCGGUCAAUAUAGUCCUUGAAAUUGUCUUGAAGAUACUAAAGUGAUUGAAAAUUUUCAAUUUCAAUGAUCAUUUUAGAAUAUGUUAAUUUUAGGGGCUAGAUUGCAUGAUGUCGUGACCAAUACUAUUAUAAGACUGAAAUAGGUUAUUCGCUCUUUCGUUUUAUGUUAUUUGAUGUGUCUAUGCUAGGUGGUGCUUACCUAAAGAUUCUUGAUGGCUACAUUAGUUCAUAUGUUGUUGCUAUCUGAUGAAUGGAAAAUUUAAAUUUGUUGGUCGAGGGUUGAGUACCUCGAUUGGUUUGAGCUAAGGGUUAAGAAGUUGGAGGUCGUCUGUUCAAAUUUUGGUAAUGUCGACAUUGUCCAUGACAGUGAUUAUAAUUAUGAUGUGUUGUUCAAUUUUAAUAUUUAAGGCUCAUUCUACGCAUGCUGAUAACUUAAUCCUGCCAAGCCCUGUAUAUUAACAUUGAUUAGUUGCUCAAUAUUACAGGUGGAUAUCUAAGCUGUAUUUCGAUGAUAUUCUAGAAAAUACAGAAGCAAAUAUAUGUCUUGUUAUCGAUGCUCGUAUUUGGAGGAUUCUAUAAAUUGAGCCAUCUUCUGCUGCUAGUUCAGGUUGAAGUUGAACUAGUGAUAAAUGAUAAAAAUAAACUAAUGUUGUGCAAAAUUAGUUCAGUGUUGCUUGUAGCUAAAAUGUUAUGCUGCCAUGC
This 12743-nucleotide long non-coding RNA is filed under the name Medicago truncatula (barrel medic). RNAcentral's name for it is "long non-coding RNA (MTRU_LNC005178)". The record is from RNAcentral. Lineage: Eukaryota; Viridiplantae; Streptophyta; Magnoliopsida; Fabales; Fabaceae.